UCUGCACGAGUGUUUUGGAGUAAAGAUCUCCUAGAUACCAUAAUUUACAGCUUUCAACAGCAAAAGCAGGCGAGUUUAAUUUCACACAUUUCAGGGCAGCUUUAAAAGUACCUUGUUACACUUUCUACUAUUUUAUGAAUCCCGUGCAAUGCUUUUCACCCCAAGGAAAGUAAAAUGGGAAAAAGCCUCCUCUGACAGACAUUUAUACGCUUCUGGAAGGAGCCACAGAAAGCCGUGCAUCCUCCUCAUUAAAAAAAUAAAUAAAGACAAAGUGAGCAAUAUUAUUUUUGCUUUCAGAGAAGUCUCUUGGAGAUGUGAUUUAUGGACAAAGGGAUUGCGUCCAAGCCUCUGGCUAGCGAUGUUACGGGCUCGUGUUUCAGCACUCAUUUCCCCCCAGGAUGUACUCCGAUUGCAUAAAUUGAAUUUUCCCGGCCCAAAUCUGCCAGCUUUCUUGGAGAAAAGGCUGCGGGCGUUCCUCACCGUUGACCUUACACUCUGAGAGCCGAAAUUCCCCCAAAACCACGGAUCCCAGAGGACAAGACCCAGAGCAACCCCGAGGCAGAAACCCCCUCUGUGGUUUCAUCGCUGCCUCCCCAUCGCCCUACGUGGAAACGGAGCUGAAAUUCCAAAAAAAAACCCCGUCGGAGAUCCCCUGCUGAGCCAAGCAGCCCCUCCACCUCUCUCUCAUCUCCCGUGGGAUUUCUUGGAGGUGAAGUCCUGCCUGAUGAAACACGGAGCAAAUCCUCUCGUCGAGCCCAGGAGCAGUUUUUGGAAGCCCCUCCAGCCAGGUGCCUCUUCUAGACACAAAACUAGAGCAGGGAUGCUAACCUGACGGGAAAUCACUCCACCUGGCAAAUCAGAUCUUUAAAAACAGUUCCUAGCAACCUUUGGUACUCACCAUAUGCAAAUAAAGCUGAUGAACCAAACCCCGAGACAUUCCUGGCAGAUAAGAGCAUUUUGUAAUAAUCUCACAUCCCCGGGGGUUAUACGUGCGGCUCGGCGCAGGUUACGCUAGAAUUGAUAAGAAACGAAUGAUUCCUGGCUGCAUCCCCCCCCCCAAAAAAAAAAAA
Molecule: long non-coding RNA, 1070 nt
Organism: Anas platyrhynchos (mallard)
Lineage: Eukaryota; Metazoa; Chordata; Aves; Anseriformes; Anatidae
Source: RefSeq, a predicted model, not a curated record